GCUUUCUUUGCUGGCGACCGGCGCACGGGUGAGUAACACGUAUCCAACCUGCCCUUUACUCGGGGAUAGCCUUUCGAAAGAAGGAUUAAUACCCGAUAGCAUAAUGAUUCCGCAUGGUUUCAUUAUUAAAGGAUUCCGGUAAAGGAUGGGGAUGCGUUCCAUUAGGUUGUUGGUGGGGUAACGGCCCACCAAGCCUUCGAUGGAUAGGGGUUCUGAGAGGAAGGUCCCCCACAUUGGAACUGAGACACGGUCCAA
RNAcentral lists this ribosomal RNA (255 nucleotides) under uncultured bacterium. RNAcentral's name for it is "partial 16S ribosomal RNA". It matches the Rfam family "Bacterial small subunit ribosomal RNA", at positions 78 to 334 of the family's 1533-position model. The record is from RNAcentral.